RNAcentral lists this unclassified non-coding RNA (377 nucleotides) under uncultured fungus. RNAcentral's name for it is "partial contains 5.8S ribosomal RNA and internal transcribed spacer 2". The stretch from base 1 to 133 matches the Rfam family "5.8S ribosomal RNA", at positions 22 to 154 of the family's 154-position model. The record is from RNAcentral. Lineage: Eukaryota; Fungi.
UGGCUCUCCCAUCGAUGAAGAACGCAGCGAAAUGCGAUAAGUAAUGUGAAUUGCAGAAUUCAGUGAAUCAUCGAAUCUUUGAACGCACCUUGCGCCCUUUGGUAUUCCGAAGGGCAUGUCUGUUUGAGUGUCAUUAAAUUCUCAACUUUGAACUGGUUUACUAGUCUCAAAGCUUGGAUGUGAGGGCUUUGCCGGCUUCCUUCAGUGGCGGUCGACUCCCUUUAAAUGCAUUAGUGGGUCCUUUGUGGACGGUCACUUGGUGUGAUAAUUGUUGCAUCGCCUGGCUUGAAACGAACUAUAGGAACUUGCUUAUAACCGUCGUGCAUUCGACACUUUUUGAACCAUUUGACCUCAAAUCAGAUAGGACUACCCGCUGA